UACGUAGGGGGCGAGCGCUGUCCGGAUUCACUGGGCGUAAAGGGUGUGUAGGCGGACAGGCGGGUCGAUGGUGAAAGCCCCCGGCUCAACCGGGGAACUGCCGUCGAAACUACCUGUCUUGAGGGCAGGAGAGGGAGCUGGAACUUCCGGUGUAGCGGUAAAAUGCGUGGAUAUCGGAAGGAACGCCGAUGGCGAAGGCAGGCUCCUGGAAUGUUCCUGACGCUGAAACACGAAAGCUAGGGGAGCAAACAGG
Molecule: ribosomal RNA, 253 nt
Filed under: uncultured bacterium
Lineage: Bacteria
Description: partial 16S ribosomal RNA
Rfam family: Bacterial small subunit ribosomal RNA
Source: RNAcentral